RNAcentral lists this ribosomal RNA (563 nucleotides) under uncultured fungus. RNAcentral describes it as "LSU rRNA". It matches the Rfam family "Bacterial large subunit ribosomal RNA", at positions 1712 to 2204 of the family's 2925-position model. The record is from RNAcentral. Lineage: Eukaryota; Fungi.
UCUCGGCAAAUUAUCCUCAUAAGUUUGACAAUAAGAGGAACCACUAAUGUUAGACUCCUUACUUGCUCAUGCUUCUCGGCAAAUUAUCCUCAUAAGUUCGACGACAAGAGGAACCAUUUUUAAGAAAUUAAUAACUCCAUUAAAUUUAUUAAUCUCUUAUGUGGUGGCACAAAAUCGGAAGCCCCGACUGUUUACUAAAAACACAGCUAUCUGCAACGAUGUAAAUCUUAGUAUAGGUAGUGAGGUUUGCCCGAUGCCAUUAAUAUAAGAGAAGUGAUGGGUAACUGUUAAUUAUCGAAAAUCUGGUUAAUAGCGGUCUUAACUAUGAGGAUCCUAAGGUAGCAAAAUAAAUUGGCCAUUAAAUGUGGUCCGGUAUCAAUAAUUUAACGAUGGCUUCACUGUCUCUACAACUUGCUCAGUGAAAUUGAAUUACCCGUGCAGAUGCGGGUUGCCACCAGGGGGACGGGAAGACCCUAUGCAGCUUCUACUAAUGAAAUUGAAUUAUCCUUGCAGAUGCGGAUUGCCUCCAGGUGGACGGGAAGACCCUAUGCAGCUUCUACUUA